AGAGUUUGAUCAUGGCUCAGGAUGAACGCUAGCGGCAGGCUUAAUACAUGCAAGUCGAGGGGUAACAGGGGUAGCAAUACCUGCUGACGACCGGCAAACGGGUGCGGAACACGUACGCAACCUUCCCAUAACUGGUGAAUAGCCCUCCGAAAGGAGGAUUAAUACACCGUAACAUAAUGAAAUGGCAUCAUUUUAUUAUUAUAGGCUUCGGCCGGUUUUGGAUGGGCGUGCGCCUGAUUAGGUAGUUGGCGGGGUAACGGCCCACCAAGCCUGCGAUCAGUAACUGGUGUGAGAGCACGACCAGUCACACGGGCACUGAGACACGGGCCCGACUCCUACGGGAGGCAGCAGUAAGGAAUAUUGGUCAAUGGACGAAAGUCUGAACCAGCCAUGCCGCGUGAAGGAUGAAGGCCCUCUGGGUUGUAAACUUCUUUUAUCUGGGACGAAAAAAGGGCAUUCUUGCUCACUUGACGGUACCAGAGGAAUAAGCACCGGCUAACUCCGUGCCAGCAGCCGCGGUAAUACGGAGGGUGCAAGCGUUAUCCGGAUUUACUGGGUUUAAAGGGUGCGUAGGUGGGUUGGUAAGUCAGUGGUGAAAUCUUCGAGCUUAACUCGGAAACUGCCAUUGAUACUAUUAAUCUUGAAUUAUCUGGAGGUAAGCGGAAUAUGUCAUGUAGCGGUGAAAUGCUUAGAUAUGACAUAGAACACCCAUUGCGAAGGCAGCUUACUACGGAUAUAUUGACACUGAGGCACGAAAGCGUGGGGAUCAAACAGGAUUAGAUACCCUAGUAGUCC
Molecule: ribosomal RNA, 795 nt
Filed under: uncultured bacterium
Lineage: Bacteria
Description: bacterial SSU rRNA
Rfam family: Bacterial small subunit ribosomal RNA
Source: RNAcentral